This 230-nucleotide unclassified non-coding RNA is filed under the name Hevea brasiliensis (rubber tree). The record is from RNAcentral. Lineage: Eukaryota; Viridiplantae; Streptophyta; Magnoliopsida; Malpighiales; Euphorbiaceae.
CACAUCGAACGCAGAGGGUGUGGGUCUUAUUCCUCCUCUUCCCAAAGCUUCCUGUCCCUUUCCCCAUUUCUUCUCUAGCUGCAGCGACCCGCCGAUAGAAAUGGUGAGCGGAGAAAAGUUGCGGCAAAUCGAGGUUGAGGUAUUUAUAUGUAGGGUUUUGAGAAUGGACAGAGUUGCGUUAGGGAGUGGCCAUGGAUGAUUAGGUCUGUCUUUAUGGGCCUGCAAUUAGG